Long non-coding RNA from Pogoniulus pusillus (Red-fronted tinkerbird), 201 nucleotides. RefSeq lists it as uncharacterized. The record is from RefSeq and is a predicted model, not a curated record. Lineage: Eukaryota; Metazoa; Chordata; Aves; Piciformes; Lybiidae. The transcript is spliced from 3 exons.
CAUUCAGGUCUUAUUUUCCUGUUGGCUUUCUUCAAUAUUAUCCUCAGAAAGUGGGGCCUCUCUUUGGACGUUUGACUUGGCCACAACAGUAGCCGCAGAAAGAGUUUCUUUGAUCUCCUUGCAUCUGGUAAAUCUAGUGGAGAUGUGCCUGUUUGGAGUGUGAAGAUCAUGUAAAGUGGCAGUAGGAAGCUUUAAGUAUGU